AUGGUCACAUGUUUCCGCCGGACCUCGGACCACAGCAGGGCAGCAUGGGUUGACAUGAGAUUGGUGAUCGAGGGCCUUGUACAAAGAUGUGUGGGCUCCGUUGUUGCCGGCCCGGUUGUUCUUGCUGUGGCUGUGAAGGAAGGCAAAACAAAACCCUUGAGCAGAUGGGUCAAUGGACAAGUGGAGACUGCUAUGUUAAGUUCAUCUAACUAUCGUUUCCAUUAUUUCUAUCUUUUUUGUUUGUGUUGCAAGUGGCAACUGCAAGUAGUAGGUGUUCUUAUGAGGGGCAAAAAGUAUGUUUAG
Molecule: ribosomal RNA, 303 nt
Filed under: Triticum aestivum (bread wheat)
Lineage: Eukaryota; Viridiplantae; Streptophyta; Magnoliopsida; Poales; Poaceae
Description: partial small subunit ribosomal RNA
Source: RNAcentral